GCUCUCCGGAGCCCUGUGCUGUGCCACGAGGAGCAGCCGUAGGCCGGGCUGUGCAGAGCCUUGUCUCCAUCUAAGGAGUGGAUGCUUUGAUUGGAACCCUCACCCAGAAUGAAAUGAUAUUUAAGCGGCUGCACCUGGGCACCGUGUCCUAUGGCGCCGACACGAUGGAUGAGAUCCAGAGCCAUGUCAGGGACUCCUACUCACAGAUGCAGUCUCAAGCUGGUGGAAACAAUACUGGUUCAACUCCACUAAGAAAAGCCCAAUCUUCAGCUCCCAAAGUUAGGAAAAGUGUCAGUAGUCGAAUCCAUGAAGCCGUGAAAGCCAUCGUGCUGUGUCACAACGUGACCCCCGUGUAUGAGUCUCGGGCCGGCGUUACUGAGGAGACUGAGUUUGCAGAGGCUGAUCAAGACUUCAGUGAUGAGAAUCGCACCUACCAGGCUUCCAGCCCGGAUGAGGUCGCUCUGGUGCAGUGGACAGAGAGUGUGGGCCUCACGCUGGUCAGCAGGGACCUCACCUCCAUGCAGCUGA
Molecule: small RNA, 528 nt
Filed under: Pan troglodytes (chimpanzee)
Lineage: Eukaryota; Metazoa; Chordata; Mammalia; Primates; Hominidae
Description: processed transcript
Source: RNAcentral